Brienomyrus brachyistius is the source of this 277-nucleotide long non-coding RNA. RefSeq lists it as uncharacterized. The record is from RefSeq and is a predicted model, not a curated record. The transcript is spliced from 2 exons. Lineage: Eukaryota; Metazoa; Chordata; Actinopteri; Osteoglossiformes; Mormyridae.
CGUACGUCUGACCAAUGAAAAGGGGCAGUUCAACCGCGUCUGUUCGCUCAUUGGACAAUACAGAGGAACGCUUAGUUCGCAUGCGGGGCGAUGGCCGGCUGUUUAAGGUUUCGUUCCGCAGUCGAACGAUAUGCAUUUGAGUUUGCGUCUAUAGUGGACUGGUGCUUCCCUUCCUGUCGUCCUCUGCUGCCAAGAUUCCAGACUCCAGGCCCACCGUGACCGUGACCAUGACCAGAAUGAGUUGUUGGAGGAUCGAUUAAAAGUAUUAUGCAAUUUA